Molecule: ribosomal RNA, 423 nt
Filed under: uncultured bacterium
Lineage: Bacteria
Description: bacterial SSU rRNA
Rfam family: Bacterial small subunit ribosomal RNA
Source: RNAcentral
AGCCAGCAGCCGCGGUAAUACAGAGGGUGCGAGCGUUGUCCGGAAUCACUGGGCGUAAAGGGCGCGUAGGCGGCGCGGUCAGCGUGCGGUGAAAGCUCGGGGCUCAACUCCGAGUCGGCCGUGCGAACUGCCGUGCUUGAGCACACUAGAGGCGGAUGGAAUUCCGGGUGUAGCGGUGGAAUGCGUAGAGAUCCGGAAGAACACCGGUGGCGAAGGCGGUCCGCUGGGGUGGUGCUGACGCUGAGGCGCGACAGCGUGGGGAGCAAACAGGAUUAGAUACCCUGGUAGUCCACGCCGUAAACGAUGGGCACUAGGUGCUUGGGGGAGCGACCCCCUGAGUGCCGGCGCUAACGCAUUAAGUGCCCCGCCUGGGGAGUACGGCCGCAAGGCUGAAACUCAAAGGAAUUGACGGGGGCCCGCACA